CUCUGGGUGGUGUAAACGGUUAACACAUUUGGCUGCUAACCAAAACGUUGGAGGUUCGAGUCUACACAGAGG
Transfer RNA from Loxodonta africana (African savanna elephant), 72 nucleotides. It matches the Rfam family "tRNA". From Rfam's summary of the family: Transfer RNA (tRNA) molecules are approximately 80 nucleotides in length. Their secondary structure includes four short double-helical elements and three loops (D, anti-codon, and T loops). The record is from Rfam. NCBI's taxonomy places the organism in Eukaryota, Metazoa, Chordata, Mammalia, Proboscidea, Elephantidae.